GAAAUGCGAUAAGUAAUGUGAAUUGCAGAAUUCCGUGAAUCAUCGAAUCUUUGAACGCACAUUGCGCCCUCUGGUAUUCCGGGGGGCAUGCCUGUCCGAGCGUCAUUGCGAACCCCUCAAGCACGGCUUGCGUGAUGGGCCCUCCCGCGUCUUGGUCGUCAAGACGGGCCCGAAAUGCAGUGGCGGCUUCGCGGUUAUCCGAUCAGCCAGAGCGUAUGGGGACUUUCUCUCUGUCACACGCCCGCGGCGCGGACCGACGCCUGUCGACCUUCAUUCAUCGUUUUCUCGGUUGACCUCGGAUCAGGUAGGGAUACCCGCUGAACUUAAGC
This 329-nucleotide unclassified non-coding RNA is filed under the name plant metagenome. Its description in RNAcentral is "partial contains 5.8S ribosomal RNA, internal transcribed spacer 2, and large subunit ribosomal RNA". The stretch from base 1 to 105 matches the Rfam family "5.8S ribosomal RNA", at positions 50 to 154 of the family's 154-position model. The record is from RNAcentral.